Molecule: ribosomal RNA, 466 nt
Filed under: uncultured bacterium
Lineage: Bacteria
Description: partial 16S ribosomal RNA
Rfam family: Bacterial small subunit ribosomal RNA
Source: RNAcentral
GAUGAACGCUGGCGGCGUGCUUAACACAUGCAAGUCGAACGAUGAAGCCCAGCUUGCUGGGUGUAUUAGUGGCGAACGGGUGAGUAACACGUGAGUAACCUGCCCUUAACUCUGGGAUAAGCCUGGGAAACUGGGUCUAAUACCGGAUAGGAGCGCCUACCGCAUGGUGGGUGUUGGAAAGAUUUAUCGGUUUUGGAUGGACUCGCGGCCUAUCAGCUUGUUGGUGAGGUAAUGGCUCACCAAGGCGACGACGGGUAGCCGGCCUGAGAGGGUGACCGGCCACACUGGGACUGAGACACGGCCCAGACUCCUACGGGAGGCAGCAGUGGGGAAUAUUGCACAAUGGGCGAAAGCCUGAUGCAGCGACGCCGCGUGAGGGAUGACGGCCUUCGGGUUGUAAACCUCUUUCAGUAGGGAAGAAGCGAAAGUGACGGUACCUGCAGAAGAAGCACCGGCUAACUACGUG